Molecule: ribosomal RNA, 253 nt
Filed under: uncultured bacterium
Lineage: Bacteria
Description: partial 16S ribosomal RNA
Rfam family: Bacterial small subunit ribosomal RNA
Source: RNAcentral
UACGUAGGGUGCGAGCGUUAAUCGGAAUUACUGGGCGUAAAGCGUGCGCAGGCGGUUUUGUAAGCCAGAUGUGAAAUCCCCGGGCUUAACCUGGGAAUGGCAUUUGGGACUGCAAGGCUUGAGUGCGGCAGAGGAGACUGGAAUUCCUGGUGUAGCAGUGAAAUGCGUAGAUAUCAGGAGGAAUACCGAUGGCGAAGGCAGGUCUCUGGGCCACUACUGACGCUGAGAAGCGAAAGCAUGGGGAGCGAACAGG